CCGCUGCAGACGCCGAGCUCGCCAUGGCACUGAUCGGCGUGGCUGCAGCCGCCCUCCCUUCUGCUUCUUCCGGAAACGCAGAGAAGCAGCCACCCUCCCUCCACCCAGCCAGUUGGUCUGGAGCAUCCUCAAUGCCUCCUCGGUGCCCCAGGCAACCUGUGUAGACAACCUACUAUUUAUCUGUUAUGGACUGGAUAUUUGAGUUUCCCCAAACUCUUAUGUUGAGGUCCUACCUCCCAGAGUGCUGGGAUAGGGAGGCGGGGCCUCUGGGAGGUACUGAGGGUAGAGCCCCCAUGGUGGGAUUAGUGGCUUUCUAAGAAGAGGAACAGAGGUCGUGGUAAUGUCCUCUCCUGGACCCCUGAAGAUAAAGGCGGCCAUCUGCAAGACGCGAAAAGUGCCUUUACCAAGAACGAGAUCUACUGACACCUUGAACUGGGACGUCAGCCUCCAGAACUGUCGGAAAUAAAUGUCUGUUGAUGAAAACCA
Molecule: long non-coding RNA, 486 nt
Organism: Neogale vison (American mink)
Lineage: Eukaryota; Metazoa; Chordata; Mammalia; Carnivora; Mustelidae
Exons: 2
Source: RefSeq, a predicted model, not a curated record